GACCUGGCUGGGCGGUCUUGCCGCAAGGUAAGCACUGCUCCGGUUGGGUCUUUCCUUCUGGGGAACCAGCGUGCUCUUAACUGCGUGCGCUGGGGAUCCAGGACUUUUACUUUGAAAAAAUUAGAGUGUUUAAAGCAGGCUUACGCUUGAAUACAUUAGCAUGGAAUAAUAGAAUAGGAC
RNAcentral lists this ribosomal RNA (180 nucleotides) under uncultured Glomeromycotina. RNAcentral describes it as "partial small subunit ribosomal RNA". The stretch from base 91 to 180 matches the Rfam family "Eukaryotic small subunit ribosomal RNA", at positions 736 to 828 of the family's 1831-position model. The record is from RNAcentral. Lineage: Eukaryota; Fungi; Glomeromycota.